UACAGAGGUUUCAAGCGUUGUUCGGAUUCAUUGGGCGUAAAGGGUGCGUAGGCGGCGCCGUAAGUCGGGUGUGAAAUUUCGGAGCUUAACUCCGAAACUGCAUUCGAUACUGCGGUGCUUGAGGACUGGAGAGGAGACUGGAAUUCAUGGUGUAGCAGUGAAAUGCGUAGAGAUCAUGAGGAAGACCAGUGGCGAAGGCGGGUCUCUGGACAGUUCCUGACACUGAGGCACGAAGGCCAGGGGAGCAAACGGG
Molecule: ribosomal RNA, 253 nt
Filed under: uncultured bacterium
Lineage: Bacteria
Description: partial 16S ribosomal RNA
Rfam family: Bacterial small subunit ribosomal RNA
Source: RNAcentral